GAUGAACGCUGGCGGCGUGCCUAAUACAUGCAAGUCGAGCGAACAGACGAGGAGCUUGCUCCUCUGACGUUAGCGGCGGACGGGUGAGUAACACGUGGAUAACCUACCUAUAAGACUGGGAUAACUUCGGGAAACCGGAGCUAAUACCGGAUAAUAUAUUGAACCGCAUGGUUCAAUAGUGAAUGACGGUUUUGCUGUCACUUAUAGAUGGAUCCGCGCCGCAUUAGCUAGUUGGUAAGGUAACGGCUCACCCAGGCGACGAUGCGUAGCUGACCUGAGAGGAUGAUCAGCCACACUGGAACUGAGACACGGUCCAGACUCCUACGGGAGGCAGAAGUGGGGAAUAUUGGACAAUGGGCGCAAGCCUGAUCCAGCCAUACCGCGUGGGUGAAGAAGGCCUUCGGGUUGUAAAGCCCUUUUGUUGGGAAAGAAAAGCAGCAGGUUAAUACCCCGCUGUUCUGACGGUACCCAAAGAAUAAGCACCGGCUAACUUCGUG
Molecule: ribosomal RNA, 497 nt
Filed under: uncultured bacterium
Lineage: Bacteria
Description: partial 16S ribosomal RNA
Rfam family: Bacterial small subunit ribosomal RNA
Source: RNAcentral